GACGAACGCUGGCGGCGUGCCUAAUACAUGCAAGUCGAACGGAAAGGCCCUGCUCUUGCGGGGUGCUCGAGUGCCGAACGCGUGUGUAUCACGCGUGUAACCUCUCCCUGUCUUUGGGAUAACUCCUGGAGACUCGGGCUCAUAUCCCAUAUGAGCUCUUGCUGCAUGGUGUUUGUUGGAAAGUUACGGCGGUUCGGGAUGGACUCGCGGCUAAUCCGCUUGUUGGUGGGGUAGUGGCUUACAAAGGCUUUGACGGGUAGCCGGCCUGAGAGGGUGACCGGCCACAAUGGGACUGAGGUAGGGCCCAGACGGCAACGGGAGGCAGCAGUGGGAAAUAUUGCGCAAUGGGCGGAAGCGUGAGACAACAUCGCCGGGUGCGGGAAGACGGCCUUCGGGGGAUAAACCGCUUUGGCCUGUAACGAGGAGUGAGUGACGGUAAUGAGUAAGAAAGCAACGGCUAACUACGUG
This 468-nucleotide ribosomal RNA is filed under the name uncultured bacterium. Its description in RNAcentral is "partial 16S ribosomal RNA". It matches the Rfam family "Bacterial small subunit ribosomal RNA", at positions 28 to 507 of the family's 1533-position model. The record is from RNAcentral.